This 943-nucleotide ribosomal RNA is filed under the name Parengyodontium album. RNAcentral describes it as "partial large subunit ribosomal RNA". It matches the Rfam family "Eukaryotic large subunit ribosomal RNA", at positions 96 to 1069 of the family's 3401-position model. Lineage: Eukaryota; Fungi; Ascomycota; Sordariomycetes; Hypocreales; Cordycipitaceae. The record is from RNAcentral.
AAGCGGCAACAGCUCAAAUUUGAAAUCUGGUCCCCAGGGCCCGAGUUGUAAUUUGUAGAGGAUGCUUUUGGCGAGGCGCCUUCCGAGUUUCCUGGAACGGGACGCCACAGAGGGUGAGAGCCCCGUCUGGUCGGAUGCCAAGCCUAUGUAAAGCUCCUUCGACGAGUCGAGUAGUUUGGGAAUGCUGCUCAAAAUGGGAGGUAUAUGUCUUCUAAAGCUAAAUACCGGCCAGAGACCGAUAGCGCACAAGUAGAGUGAUCGAAAGAUGAAAAGCACUUUGAAAAGAGGGUUAAAAAGUACGUGAAAUUGUUGAAAGGGAAGCGCCUAUGACCAGACUUGGGCCCGGUGAAUCAUCCAGCGUUCUCGCUGGUGCACUUUGCCGGGCACAGGCCAGCAUCAGUUUGGCGCGGGGGAUAAAGGCUUCGGGAAUGUGGCUCCCCUCGGGGAGUGUUAUAGCCCGUUGUGUAAUACCCUGCGCCGGACUGAGGUACGCGCUCCGCAAGGAUGCUGGCGUAAUGGUCAUCAGCGACCCGUCUUGAAACACGGACCAAGGAGUCGUCUUCGUAUGCGAGUGUUCGGGUGUAAAACCCCUACGCGUAAUGAAAGUGAACGCAGGUGAGAGCUUCGGCGCAUCACCGACCGAUCCUGAUGUUCUCGGAUGGAUUUGAGUAAGAGCAUACGGGGCCGGACCCGAAAGAAGGUGAACUAUGCCUGUAUAGGGUGAAGCCAGAGGAAACUCUGGUGGAGGCUCGCAGCGGUUCUGACGUGCAAAUCGAUCGUCAAAUAUGGGCAUGGGGGCGAAAGACUAAUCGAACCUUCUAGUAGCUGGUUUCCGCCGAAGUUUCCCUCAGGAUAGCAGUGUUGAACUCAGUUUUAUGAGGUAAAGCGAAUGAUUAGGGACUCGGGGGCGCUAUAUAGCCUUCAUCCAUUCUCAAACUUUAAA